This is a long non-coding RNA of Sinocyclocheilus grahami, 130 nucleotides long. RefSeq lists it as uncharacterized. NCBI's taxonomy places the organism in Eukaryota, Metazoa, Chordata, Actinopteri, Cypriniformes, Cyprinidae. The record is from RefSeq and is a predicted model, not a curated record. The transcript is spliced from 3 exons.
CGGCUCGAAUACAAGUCCAUAAUCCAUAAUAACACUUCCUCCAGUGAAAAAGUGCAUCUACUGUCGUUUCUCACAUCAAAACCCUGACACGUGUGUUUACUUUAGACCUGUUUUUGGACUGUUUUGGCUU